GGAUAAGGCACUCGUCUUCUUUUGCUCUACGAACAAACAUCACUUCGGGAUCAGGGAUAAUCCAUGGUUUCAAAUAUCUAUCACCUAUGGACCUUGACAUUGCAAGAACACCGAAAACUCGAGAACCAUUCCACUGUAUGAUCUUGCCUCCUGCUGCCUCUAUCCUUGCAUAUUCAUCUUCUCUGUCUGGUUUGUGAUCUUCUGACAAUGGCAUAGCUACUUUUCCACGACACAGAACUGCUCUCGAGUCGCCACAAUUUGCAACAAUAAUGUAAGUUGGACAAACAAUGGCAACCACUGCAGUUGAACCAACAGUUUCAGGGGCAAUCGGUUCAAUUUGAGCCUCAGACUCAGAGUGAUAACCAUUACUUCCUGUGAUGCCCCUGCAUGAUCCUCCUGUCUCAGCAUCAACUUUCAGAAAACAAUUUAAGAAGGAUUUCUUCCACUGCUCCUGCCAACUACUUCCAGUGCUUCCAUCACACAAGCCUGCUUUUGCAAUUUCUAGCUCG
RNAcentral lists this unclassified non-coding RNA (509 nucleotides) under Hevea brasiliensis (rubber tree). Lineage: Eukaryota; Viridiplantae; Streptophyta; Magnoliopsida; Malpighiales; Euphorbiaceae. The record is from RNAcentral.